UAAUAUAUCGGAACGUACCCUGGAGUGGGGGAUAACGUAGCGAAAGUUACGCUAAUACCGCAUACGAUCUACGGAUGAAAGUGGGGGCUUCGCAAGAACCUCAUGCUCGUGGAGCGGCCGAUAUCUGAUUAGCUAGUUGGUAGGGUAAAAGCCUACCAAGGCUUCGAUCAGUAGCUGGUCUGAGAGGACGACCAGCCACACUGGGACUGAGACACGGCCCAG
Molecule: ribosomal RNA, 222 nt
Filed under: uncultured bacterium
Lineage: Bacteria
Description: partial 16S ribosomal RNA
Rfam family: Bacterial small subunit ribosomal RNA
Source: RNAcentral